RNAcentral lists this ribosomal RNA (445 nucleotides) under uncultured bacterium. Its description in RNAcentral is "partial 16S ribosomal RNA". It matches the Rfam family "Bacterial small subunit ribosomal RNA", at positions 354 to 796 of the family's 1533-position model. The record is from RNAcentral.
GUAGGGAAUAUUGGACAAUGGGCGAAAGCCUGAUCCAGCCAUGCCGCGUGAUAGAUGAAGGCCCUCUGGGUUGUAAAUAUCUUUUAUCUGGGAAGAAACUCCUCUAUUCUUAGAGGCCUGACGGUACCAGAGGAAUAAGCACCGGCUAACUCCGUGCCAGCAGCCGCGGUAAUACGGAGGGUGCAAGCGUUAUCCGGAUUCACUGGGUUUAAAGGGUGCGUAGGCGGGUUGAUAAGUCAGUGGUGAAAGCUCCGGGCUUAACUUGGAAACUGCCAUUGAUACUGUCAGUCUUGAAUGUCGUAGAGGUAAGCGGAAUGUUGCAUGUAGCGGUGAAAUGCUUAGAUAUGUUACAGAACACCAAUUGCGAAGGCAGCUUACUAUGCGAUAAUUGACGCUGAGGCACGAAAGCGUGGGGAGCAAACAGGAUUAGAAACCCCAGUAGUCC